RNAcentral lists this ribosomal RNA (2345 nucleotides) under Salmonella enterica subsp. enterica. RNAcentral describes it as "partial 23S ribosomal RNA". It matches the Rfam family "Bacterial large subunit ribosomal RNA", at positions 614 to 2925 of the family's 2925-position model. Lineage: Bacteria; Pseudomonadati; Pseudomonadota; Gammaproteobacteria; Enterobacterales; Enterobacteriaceae. The record is from RNAcentral.
AAUGGGUCAGCGACUUAUAUUCUGUAGCAAGGUUAACCGCAUAGGGGAGCCGGAGGGAAACCGAGUCUUAACCGGGCGUUAAGUUGCAGGGUAUAGACCCGAAACCCGGUGAUCUAGCCAUGGGCAGGUUGAAGGUUGGGUAACACUAACUGGAGGACCGAACCGACUAAUGUUGAAAAAUUAGCGGAUGACCUGUGGCUGGGGGUGAAAGGCCAAUCAAACCGGGAGAUAGCUGGUUCUCCCCGAAAGCUAUUUAGGUAGCGCCUCGUGAAUUCAUCUCCGGGGGUAGAGCACUGUUUCGGCUAGGGGGCCAUCCCGGCUUACCAACCCGAUGCAAACUGCGAAUACCGGAGAAUGUUAUCACGGGAGACACACGGCGGGUGCUAACGUCCGUCGUGAAGAGGGAAACAACCCAGACCGCCAGCUAAGGUCCCAAAGUCAUGGUUAAGUGGGAAACGAUGUGGGAAGGCCCAGACAGCCAGGAUGUUGGCUUAGAAGCAGCCAUCAUUUAAAGAAAGCGUAAUAGCUCACUGGUCGAGUCGGCCUGCGCGGAAGAUGUAACGGGGCUAAACCAUGCACCGAAGCUGCGGCAGCGACACUCAGGUGUUGUUGGGUAGGGGAGCGUUCUGUAAGCCUGUGAAGGUGUGCUGUGAGGCAUGCUGGAGGUAUCAGAAGUGCGAAUGCUGACAUAAGUAACGAUAAAGCGGGUGAAAAGCCCGCUCGCCGGAAGACCAAGGGUUCCUGUCCAACGUUAAUCGGGGCAGGGUGAGUCGACCCCUAAGGCGAGGCCGAAAGGCGUAGUCGAUGGGAAACGGGUUAAUAUUCCCGUACUUGGUGUUACUGCGAAGGGGGGACGGAGAAGGCUAUGUUGGCCGGGCGACGGUUGUCCCGGUUUAAGCGUGUAGGUGUGUGUUCCAGGUAAAUCCGGUUCACUUUAACACUGAGGCGUGACGACGAGGCACUACGGUGCUGAAGCAACAAAUGCCCUGCUUCCAGGAAAAGCCUCUAAGCAUCAGGUAACAUCAAAUCGUACCCCAAACCGACACAGGUGGUCAGGUAGAGAAUACCAAGGCGCUUGAGAGAACUCGGGUGAAGGAACUAGGCAAAAUGGUGCCGUAACUUCGGGAGAAGGCACGCUGACACGUAGGUGAAGUGAUUUACUCAUGGAGCUGAAGUCAGUCGAAGAUACCAGCUGGCUGCAACUGUUUAUUAAAAACACAGCACUGUGCAAACACGAAAGUGGACGUAUACGGUGUGACGCCUGCCCGGUGCCGGAAGGUUAAUUGAUGGGGUCAGCGCAAGCGAAGCUCCUGAUCGAAGCCCCGGUAAACGGCGGCCGUAACUAUAACGGUCCUAAGGUAGCGAAAUUCCUUGUCGGGUAAGUUCCGACCUGCACGAAUGGCGUAAUGAUGGCCAGGCUGUCUCCACCCGAGACUCAGUGAAAUUGAACUCGCUGUGAAGAUGCAGUGUACCCGCGGCAAGACGGAAAGACCCCGUGAACCUUUACUAUAGCUUGACACUGAACAUUGAGCCUUGAUGUGUAGGAUAGGUGGGAGGCUUUGAAGUGUGGACGCCAGUCUGCAUGGAGCCGACCUUGAAAUACCACCCUUUAAUGUUUGAUGUUCUAACGUGGACCCGUAAUCCGGGUUGCGGACAGUGUCUGGUGGGUAGUUUGACUGGGGCGGUCUCCUCCUAAAGAGUAACGGAGGAGCACGAAGGUUGGCUAAUCCUGGUCGGACAUCAGGAGGUUAGUGCAAUGGCAUAAGCCAGCUUGACUGCGAGCGUGACGGCGCGAGCAGGUGCGAAAGCAGGUCAUAGUGAUCCGGUGGUUCUGAAUGGAAGGGCCAUCGCUCAACGGAUAAAAGGUACUCCGGGGAUAACAGGCUGAUACCGCCCAAGAGUUCAUAUCGACGGCGGUGUUUGGCACCUCGAUGUCGGCUCAUCACAUCCUGGGGCUGAAGUAGGUCCCAAGGGUAUGGCUGUUCGCCAUUUAAAGUGGUACGCGAGCUGGGUUUAGAACGUCGUGAGACAGUUCGGUCCCUAUCUGCCGUGGGCGCUGGAGAACUGAGGGGGGCUGCUCCUAGUACGAGAGGACCGGAGUGGACGCAUCACUGGUGUUCGGGUUGUCAUGCCAAUGGCACUGCCCGGUAGCUAAAUGCGGAAGAGAUAAGUGCUGAAAGCAUCUAAGCACGAAACUUGCCCCGAGAUGAGUUCUCCCUGAGACUUUAGGUCUCCUGAAGGAACGUUGAAGACGACGACGUUGAUAGGCCGGGUGUGUAAGCGCAGCGAUGCGUUGAGCUAACCGGUACUAAUGAACCGUGAGGCUUAACCUUACAACGCCGAAG